This 254-nucleotide ribosomal RNA is filed under the name uncultured bacterium. Its description in RNAcentral is "partial 16S ribosomal RNA". It matches the Rfam family "Bacterial small subunit ribosomal RNA", at positions 524 to 776 of the family's 1533-position model. The record is from RNAcentral.
UACGUAGGGGGCAAGCGUUGGCCGGAUUCAUUGGGCGUAAAGAGCUCGUAGGCGGUGUGUCGCGUCGGCCGUGAAAACCUGCAGCUUAACUGUGGGCUUGCGGUCGAUACGGGCAUCACUGGAGUUCGGCAGGGGAGACUGGAAUUCCUGGUGUAGCGGUGAAAUGCGCAGAUAUCAGGAGGAACACCGGUGGCGAAGGCGGGUCUCUGGGCCGAUACUGACGCUGAGGAGCGAAAGCGUGGGGAGCGAACAGG